Molecule: unclassified non-coding RNA, 585 nt
Filed under: Hevea brasiliensis (rubber tree)
Lineage: Eukaryota; Viridiplantae; Streptophyta; Magnoliopsida; Malpighiales; Euphorbiaceae
Source: RNAcentral
CAAAAAUCAAAUCCAAAUUUCUUAUUUCAAAAUAUUGCAUUCAAACAUACCAUAAGGGAUCAUAUAAAAUGACCAGGGUAAAAUGAAUUAUAUUAUGCUUCCUCCAGAUAACAAACUACAAUAUGAAACUAACAACGAUGGCAGAUUAUCCAACUUACAUAAAAUAGAAAUUAAUGAUUUCAGUCAAUCUAUUAGAAAAUGACUUAUCAAGUUCCUCAUUUUCUCCCUCCAAUUGUUCAUUUGGGCCAGUUACUGAAGGGCCACAAUGGUAAUCACAGGGUUGUUUUUGGAGAAGGUUGGAGAGAAGGAUAUUGGGGUAGGGAACUGGGAUAAGAAGUGGAAUGAUUCUUGUUUACUCGGACAGGCACCCAAGAAAAGAAAAGUGAUCUUUUUUUCUCCUGGGCCCUACCUAACCAAUUAGAUAAUUAUAGCCUUUUCCAGUUACUAUUCUUCCCACCAAAAAUGUAAAAUGCCAUCCCUUCUUUCAAAUAAGAAGUAAAGAAAUAGUUUCCCUUCCUGCUUCCCAUUCUCCUACCAAACAUAGCAUAAAGGUGCUAAAUGAUUUUUAAGCUUUGAUGCCGCAUA